UACGUAGGGUGCAAGCGUUGUCCGGAAUUAUUGGGCGUAAAGAGCUCGUAGGCGGCUUGUCGCGUCGGCUGUGAAAACCUGGGGCUCAACCCCGGGCCUGCAGCCGAUACGGGCAAGCUAGAAUUCGGUAGGGGAGACUGGAAUUCCAGGUGUAGCGGUGAAAUGCGUAGAUAUCUGGAGGAACACCGGUGGCGAAGGCGGCAUCCUGGACCGGCAUUGACGCUGAUGAGCGAAAGCCAGGGGAGCAAACGGG
This 253-nucleotide ribosomal RNA is filed under the name uncultured bacterium. RNAcentral describes it as "partial 16S ribosomal RNA". It matches the Rfam family "Bacterial small subunit ribosomal RNA", at positions 524 to 776 of the family's 1533-position model. The record is from RNAcentral.